UCGAGAAUCUUCCGCAAUGGGCGAAAGCCUGACGGAGCGAUGCCGCGUGAGGGAUGAAGGUCUUCGGAUUGUAAACCUCUGUCACCCGGGACGAAGAAUGUGACGGUACCGGGAGAGGAAGCCACGGCUAACUACGUGCCAGCAGCCGCGGUAAUACGUAGGUGGCGAGCGUUACUCGGAUUCACUGGGCGUAAAGGGUCCGCAGGGGGUCUGCCAAGUCUGACGUGAAAGCCCACAGCUCAACUGUGGAACGGCGUUGGAUACUGGCGGGCUGGAGUGCACGAGAGGAGAGCGGAAUUCCUGGUGUAGCGGUGGAAUGCGUAGAUAUCAGGAGGAACACCCAUGGCGAAGGCAGCUCUCUGGCGUGCUACUGACCCUCAUGGACGAAAGCGUGGGUAGCAAACA
Molecule: ribosomal RNA, 405 nt
Filed under: uncultured prokaryote
Description: bacterial SSU rRNA
Rfam family: Bacterial small subunit ribosomal RNA
Source: RNAcentral